This 253-nucleotide ribosomal RNA is filed under the name uncultured bacterium. RNAcentral describes it as "partial 16S ribosomal RNA". It matches the Rfam family "Bacterial small subunit ribosomal RNA", at positions 524 to 776 of the family's 1533-position model. The record is from RNAcentral.
UACGUAGGGUGCGAGCGUUAAUCGGAAUUACUGGGCGUAAAGCGUGCGCAGGCGGUUCUCCAAGUCCGUUGUGAAAGCCCCGGGCUCAACCUGGGAAUGGCAGUGGAAACUAGGGGACUGGAAUCUGGCAGAGGGGGGUGGAAUGCCGCGUGUAGCAGUGAAAUGCGUAGAGAUGCGGCGGAACACCGAUGGCGAAGGCAGCCCCCUGGGUCAACACUGACGCUCAUGCACGAAAGCGUGGGGAGCAAACAGG